GGGCUUUGCAGGACACAGUACAAUCCCAACACUCAGGCUAGGAGAAUGUCUAUCAUGCUCCUGUUUGAAUGGCACUGGGCUGACAUUGCACUGGAGUGUGAAUACUAUGUAGCUCCUAAUGGAUUUGCUGGAGUUCAGGUAUGUAGUUUUCUGCCCACAGGCAGUAAAAUUGCUUCGCAGCAUUUGCUUAACAAACUAAACAGCCAUGAUUGCCAACAGGGAGGUCCAAGUAACUUCCUUGUUGAAAGCAUGGAUGGAAGUACUCAGUGCUGUUAGGUGGAUCUGGAGCUCCUGUCAGCCUGGUAUGAGUGUAUCUUUAGCUGCAGAUCAGCUGCAAAGAGGCUUACUUUUCGCUGUCGUGCUUCAUGUAUAAUGUUAUGUUUUAUUCUUCACCUUUUGAUGACUUGAGUUCACAGACAUAGACUGUCCAAAGGAUGUUGCAAUUCCUGCCAAAAAUAAUGAACGUGGCUUCAGCCCUCCCCUACAUGUGUCCUUGGACAACGGAUCCAGGCAGCUCACGGCAACAAAAGACAAUGUUUUUGAUGCCAGUCUACAAGAUGGACAACUUGCAGACCUGAGCUUGUGCUGCAGAAGGGAGAGAAUGGGUUUGACACAAAGCUUGUCUCAUGGAAAUUGCAGACUAGUUUCAAUUUUGCAAUUAAAAUGCAAAAUGAGAACUACAGAUUUCUGACUGAGGCAUGUCAUUUCACCUGCAGGUUUCUUCUCCAAAUGAAAACACUGUCAUUACUAAUCCAAACAGGCCCUGGUGGGAAAGAUACCAGCCCAUCAGCUACAAGAUCUGCAGUCAAUCAGGCAAUGAAAAUGAAUUCAGAGAUGUGGUGGCGAGAUGCAACAACAUUGGAGUUCGUAUUUAUGUGGAUGCUGUUGUCAAUCACAUGUGUGGAUCUACAGGUGGCACAGGCACCUACUCAACGUAUGGGAGCUAUUUCAACAGCAAGAGUAGAGAUUUUCCUGCUGUGCUGUACUCUGCCUGAGCUUUCAAUGACAGCAAAUGUCAUACUGGAAGUGGAGACAUCGAAAAUUAUGGGGACAUGUAUCAGAUAACGUUAUGCGGCAACAAUUUGAUAUUUUUUUCUUUUUUUAUAACUUUUGUAGAAUAAAGCUGAAGAAAGG
Gallus gallus (chicken) is the source of this 1134-nucleotide RNA transcript. It is a transcript of the gene named hepatic amylase pseudogene, with no coding region annotated. The record is from RefSeq and is marked provisional. NCBI's taxonomy places the organism in Eukaryota, Metazoa, Chordata, Aves, Galliformes, Phasianidae. The transcript has 2 exons.